AUUGAGAACUCUUUGGACAAUUGC
RNAcentral lists this non-coding RNA (24 nucleotides) under Arabidopsis thaliana (thale cress). Lineage: Eukaryota; Viridiplantae; Streptophyta; Magnoliopsida; Brassicales; Brassicaceae. The record is from RNAcentral.